CAAAAUUCAACGGCCGCGGUACCCUAACCGUGCGAAGGUAGCAUAAUCACUUGUUCUUUAAAUAAGGACUUGUAUCAACGGCACCACGAGGGUUAAACUGUCUCCUUUUUCAUAUCAGUGAAACUAAUCUCCCCGUGAAGAAGCGGGGAUAAUUUUAUAAGACGAGAAGACCCCAUGGAGCUUUAAACCCAUAUACACUCCGCUUAACUCUACCUUUAAACCUCUCGGAUCCUGUAUGUUCUGGUUUUAGGUUGGGGUGACCGCGGAGCAUAAACUAACCUCCACAAUGAAUAAAUUUCUUCUUUAUCUAAGAUUAACACCUCUAAGAAUUAGUACUCUAACAUAAAAUGAUCCGAUAUUCGAUCAACGAACCAAGUUACCCUGGGGAUAACAGCGCAAUCUACUUCAAGAGCCCCUAUCGACAAGUAGGUUUACGACCUCGAUGUUGGAUCAGGGUAUCCCAGUGGUGCAGCAGCUACUAAAGGUUCGUUUGUUCAACGAUUAAAACCCU
This 511-nucleotide ribosomal RNA is filed under the name Guibemantis pulcher (Tsarafidy Madagascar frog). RNAcentral describes it as "partial large subunit ribosomal RNA". It matches the Rfam family "Bacterial large subunit ribosomal RNA", at positions 1918 to 2597 of the family's 2925-position model. The record is from RNAcentral. Lineage: Eukaryota; Metazoa; Chordata; Amphibia; Anura; Mantellidae.